This 253-nucleotide ribosomal RNA is filed under the name uncultured bacterium. RNAcentral's name for it is "partial 16S ribosomal RNA". It matches the Rfam family "Bacterial small subunit ribosomal RNA", at positions 524 to 776 of the family's 1533-position model. The record is from RNAcentral.
UACAGAGGGUGCAAGCGUUACUCGGAAUUACUGGGCGUAAAGCGCGCGUAGGUGGUUUGUUAAGUUGAAUGUGAAAUCCCCGGGCUCAACCUGGGAACUGCAUGCAAAACUGGCAAGCUAGAGUAUGGUAGAGGGUGGUGGAAUUUCCUGUGUAGCGGUGAAAUGCGUAGAUAUAGGAAGGAACACCAGUGGCGAAGGCGACCACCUGGACUGAUACUGACACUGAGGUGCGAAAGCGUGGGGAGCAAACAGG